This 507-nucleotide ribosomal RNA is filed under the name uncultured bacterium. RNAcentral's name for it is "partial 16S ribosomal RNA". It matches the Rfam family "Bacterial small subunit ribosomal RNA", at positions 30 to 523 of the family's 1533-position model. The record is from RNAcentral.
AUUGAACGCUGGCGGCAUGCCUAACACAUGCAAGUCGAACGGCAGCACAGUAUGUAGCAAUACAUAUGGGUGGCGAGUGGCGGACGGGUGCGUAAUAUGUAGGGAUCUGCCCUGAAGCGGGGGACAACCCGGGGAAACCCGGGCUAAUACCGCAUAAUACUCUACGGAGGAAAUCUGGCACGCAAGUGCUGGGGCUUUAGGAUGAACCUACAUCCGAUUAGCUAGUUGGUGAGGUAAUAGCUCACCAAGGCAAUGAUCGGUAGCUGGUCUGGUAGCAUGACCAGCCACACUGGGACUGAGACACGGCCCAGACUCCUACGGGAGGCAGCAGUGGGGAAUAUUGGACAAUGGGGGAAACCCUGAUCCAGCAAUGCCGCGUGGGUGAAGAAGGCCUUCGGGUUGUAAAGCCCUUUAGGCGGGGAAGAAGGUUAUAGGGUGAUAAGCCUUAUAGCUUGACGGUACCCGCAGAAUAAGCACCGGCUAACUCUGUGCCAGCCGCCGCCGUAA